This 77-nucleotide transfer RNA is filed under the name Mollicutes bacterium. RNAcentral's name for it is "tRNA-Arg". It matches the Rfam family "tRNA". Rfam says of the family: Transfer RNA (tRNA) molecules are approximately 80 nucleotides in length. Their secondary structure includes four short double-helical elements and three loops (D, anti-codon, and T loops). Further hydrogen bonds mediate the characteristic L-shaped molecular structure. tRNAs have two regions of fundamental functional importance: the anti-codon, which is responsible for specific mRNA codon recognition, and the 3' end, to which the tRNAs corresponding amino acid is attached (by aminoacyl-tRNA synthetases). tRNAs cope with the degeneracy of the genetic code in two manners: having more than one tRNA (with a specific anti-codon) for a particular amino acid; and 'wobble' base-pairing, i.e. permitting non-standard base-pairing at the 3rd anti-codon position. Lineage: Bacteria; Bacillati; Mycoplasmatota; Mollicutes. The record is from RNAcentral.
GCCUACGUAGCUCAGUUGGUCAGAGCGAGAGUCUUCUAAUCUCUAGGUCGGGAGUUCGAAUCUCUCCGUAGGUGCCA